RNAcentral lists this ribosomal RNA (432 nucleotides) under uncultured bacterium. RNAcentral's name for it is "partial 16S ribosomal RNA". It matches the Rfam family "Bacterial small subunit ribosomal RNA", at positions 28 to 507 of the family's 1533-position model. The record is from RNAcentral.
GAUGAACGCUGGCGGUAUGCUUAACACAUGCAAGUCGAACGGUCACUCCGGUGAUAGUUGCGGACGGGUGAGUAACGCGGGAGAAUCUGUCUGCAUGCCGGGGACAAUAGUUAGAAAUGACUGCUAAUAUCGGAUGUGCCUUUCGGUUAAAGAUUUAGUGCCUGAAAAAGAGCUCGCGUCAGAUUAGCUAGUAGGUGGUGGAAGAGACUACCUAGGCACGAACCUGUAGAUGGUCUGAGAGGACGAUCAGCCACACUGGAACUGAGACACGGUCCAGAAUACUACGGGAGGCGGCAGUGGGGAAUUUUGCCAAAUGGGCGAAAGCCUGACGGCGCACGACCGCGUGAGGGACGAAGGCGUUUGAGUAGUAAACCACUUUACUAAAGGAAUAUGAUGACGGUACUUAAGGAAUAAGCAUCGGCUAACUCUGUG